This 548-nucleotide unclassified non-coding RNA is filed under the name uncultured Bartonella sp. RNAcentral's name for it is "partial 16S-23S ribosomal RNA intergenic spacer". The stretch from base 166 to 239 matches the Rfam family "tRNA". Lineage: Bacteria; Pseudomonadati; Pseudomonadota; Alphaproteobacteria; Hyphomicrobiales; Bartonellaceae. The record is from RNAcentral.
GGUUUUUCAAAAAAAAACAUGCGUUUCAAGGUGCCAUGGAUUUUAAAGACCGUGGAUUUACUCAAAACUUAUGGGUUUUAAAAAAGGCUUUAAAAGGAAAUAACUAAAAAAGCUUUUCCUGUGAUUUAAGAUGAUACCGGGGAAGGUUUUCCGGUUUAUCCCGGAGGGCUUGUAGCUCAGUUGGUUAGAGCGCGCGCUUGAUAAGCGUGAGGUCGGAGGUUCAAGUCCUCCCAGGCCCACCAAUUUAUGCUCGUUUUUUGCUUAUCCAAGAGUAUGAAGCUUAAGCGUAUUAAAGCCUCUUCAAUCUUUGUUUAUUUUUAAAGAUUUUAUUUUAUUAUUCAAAGAUUGUUUGUUAAAUUUAUCCCAUUAAGCUUCCAAAGAGGCUUUGUCCCUUCAGUGGUACAGAUAAAUUUACAUGAUACAAAUCAAAACAGGACAGGUAAUUCAAGUUGAUGAAUUUGGUUAUGGUUGAUUUGAGAGAGCAUUAUUUAGGGGCCGUAGCUCAGCUGGGAGAGCACCUGCUUUGCAAGCAGGGGGUCAUCGGUUCA